This 810-nucleotide ribosomal RNA is filed under the name uncultured Caryophanales bacterium. RNAcentral's name for it is "bacterial SSU rRNA". It matches the Rfam family "Bacterial small subunit ribosomal RNA", at positions 430 to 1216 of the family's 1533-position model. The record is from RNAcentral. Lineage: Bacteria; Bacillati; Bacillota; Bacilli; Caryophanales.
GCUAUGUUGUAAGGGAAGAACCAGUGCGAGAGUUACUGUUCGUACUUUGACGGUACCUUAUUAGAAAAGCCACGGCUGACAUACGUGCCAGCAGUCGUCGGUAAUAUGUAGGUGGCGAGCGUUGUCCGGAAUUAUUGGGCGUAAAGCGCGCGCAGGCGGUCAUUUAAGUCUGAUGUGAAAGCACACGGCUCACCUGUGGAGGGUCAUUGGAAACUGGGGGACUUGUGUUCAGAAGAUGAAAGCGGAGUUCCUAGUGUAGCGGUGAAAUGCGUAGAGAUGUGGAGGAACACCAGUGGGGAAGGCGGCUUUCUGGUCUGUAACUGACGCUGAGGCGCGAAAGCGUGGGGAGCAAUCAGGAUUAGAUACCUUGGUAGUCCACGCCGUAAACGAUGAGUGCUAAGUGUUAGGGGGUUUCCGCCCCUUAGUGCUGCAGCUAACGCAUUAAGCACUCCGCCUGGGGAGUACGGCUGCAAGGCUGUAACUCAAAGGAAUUGACGGGGGCCCGCACAAGCGGUGGAGCAUGUGGUUUAAUUCGAAGCAACUCGAAGAACCUUACCAGGUCUUGACAUCUCUACUGACCAGGUAUUAGAGAGUAAGAUCUUUUGCCUUCGGGGAUCAGUGCGUGAGCAGGGUGGUGCACUGGUUGUCGUCAGCUCGUGUCGUGAGAUGUUGGGUUAAGUCCCGCACACGAGCGCUACCCUUGAUUUUAGUUGCCAGCAUUUAGUUGGGCACUCUAAGGCGAUUGCCGGUGACAAGCCGGAGGAAGGUGGGGAUGUCGUCAAAUCAUCAUGCCCCUUAUGAGCUGGGUUC